CCAAUCUAAAAUCCCCGAAGAUUGUCCAUCCUUCAUGCUCACCUGCACUGUCGUGCUCAUCCCUACACUAUUGCUGUUGGGACUCGUAUGUGAAUAAUAUGGUUAGGAUAGGGUGGCCUCAGAAUCAUCAUCUGUCUCAUUUUCUCUUUGAAUAAUAUGGAUUAAAAAAAAAAAACAAAUUUUCAAAAAUCGAUCAUGGAUUAAAAAAAAAAAUCACAAAUUUUCAAAAAAUUCUACCAUGGAUUACAAAAAAAAUUCCAUCAUGGAUUAAAAAAAAAAUCACAAAUUUUCAAAAAAUUCUAUCAUGGAUUAUAAAAACAAAUUCGAUCAUGGAUUAAAAAAAAAAUUCACAAAUUUUCAAAAAAUUCAAUCAUGGAUUACAAAAAAUUCGAUCAUGGAUUACAUAAAAUUCGAUCAUGGAUUACAAAAAAAGACAAACAAAAAAUUCAAUCGUGGAUUACAAAAAAAGAAAAAAACAAUUCGAUCAUGGAUUACAAAAAAUUCAAUCAUGGAUUACAAAAAACUCUAUCAUGGGUUACAAAAAAAACAAAAAACAAAAAAUUCGAUCAUGGAUUACAAAAAAAAAACAAACAUUUCGAUCAUGGAUUACAAAAAAAAACAAACAUUUCGAUCAUGUAUUACAGAACAUUCGAUCAUGGAUUACAAAAAAUUCUAUCAUGGGUUACAAAACAAAAACAAAAAAACAAAAAAUUCGAUCAUGGAUUACAAGAAAUUCUAUCAUGGGUUACAAAAAAAAAAAAAAAACAAAAAAUUCAAUCAUGGAUUAAAAAAAAAAAAAAACAAAUUCGAUCAUGGAUUACAAAAAAAUCGAUCAAGUAUUACAAAAAAAUCUAUCAUGGAUUACAAGCAAAAAAAAAAAAAAUUCCGUACAAGACUCGCCGAUUCACUGUAUGGACUCGCCGAUUCCGUACAGUGAAUCACUCGAGUCACUGUACAAAAUCGUCCGGUUCUCUCUAGAACCGGACGAUUCCCUUUUUUUUCGUCGAUUCGAUCCGUCCAUUGCGAUUCCCGAGUCGAACCGGGUUCGACUCGGCGUUUUUUUAAACACUGAUUUAUACACAUUGUUCCAAAAAACGGCCCAUCUUUGCACCAACUCCAGCGGCCAAAAUAGCGUUGGAGUAGAUUGAGGGUAGGUAUUUAACAAAACAUUUGUUAUAUUUAUUUUCUUAACUCUAAAAUAGUAUUGGUGUAGAUUGAGGGGUAAGUGUUUAACGAAAAUUUUGUUAUAGAAAAGAGAGUAAUAAGCCCAAGUUACUCAUACGUGAAUCUUUUACAAAAGAGAAACUUAAGAAAGAAGGGAAGAACGCUUCAAAAAAUUCCAAAUCAACAAAACGAUUCCAAAUCAGCAAACAUUAUACUCUGCAUAUUCUCAUCUCAACCACUUAACUUAUACUAAGAAAAAAAAUAUGGAGAGAGCCCCACUUUCAAGAAAAUCUAAAGCCCCACUUUAAAGAAAACCUAUGUAAUGUCUAUAAGUAUGGAUAAGCUCAUAUUCGAGGCUGAUGGUCUGGAUUCGACUCUCCAGUUUCAUUUUACUAUCAUGUGGGCUUAGUUCUAACAGAUGAUUUUACUAUCGUGUUGGCUUAGUUCUACUAGAUGUUAUGAAAGUUGCCUAGGCGGUGGAUAUAAGUGAUUUUACUAUGUAACCUAAGUUCCAUGGGACAAUAUCAACAUUAUGUACAUGGACAAAUUAGGCGUAUGCCCAUACCCAGGCUGGCCGCCAAAAUAGAUGGUAAUAGCCAAAAUAGGCGUAUGGCUACUAUGCCCAGACCUACGACGCCAAAAUAGGCGCACUAGUACUAGUUCCUGGGCAGCCGUCUAGGCGGCUGCCUCGGCGCCAGGGGCACUGGGUGCCGCCUAGGCGACUGGGUGACACCCACUCCUCCUCCGGCCGGGGGCCGAAAUGUCAUGCGCCUACCCCUUAUUUUUAGAUUUUUUUUAAAAAAAACAAAAUAGAUUUUUUUUAAAAAAAACAAAAGUUUAAUAGAGAUUUUAGUUUGAUUUAAAACCUAAACCCAUUAGAGCCUAUUUUAGUUAUAGAAAAACCUGAUUUUUGUGACUUUCAUAGGGUUUCUCAAACUAAAUUGGAAUGGUUAACUAGAUAUGGGGCUAGAACCGGCUCAACUAGCCUAACUAGUAAAUCGGCCGAUUCAAUUGACUUGACCGGGCAAGUCCCGAGCGGUAAAAAAAGUGUUAAAAAAUAAAAAAAACUUAUAAUAAAAUAUGAAAAAUAUAUUUAAAGCAUGGUUGAAAAAAGAACAUCCAAAUGAAGUUGAAAAUGAAUGGAAAAUGGAUUUCAAAGAAUCGAUUUGUGCCUAGGGGUAUUUUUGAAAUAUUUUAAAACAGAUGAAAAAAAAUGUGAAAAUGAGUAUUAAUUGCUAAAAUAAUUUUCAAUCUUUUCCAAACUGAUGAAAACAAUGAAAAAAAUGUAUUACAAGUAAAAUAUCUUCUUUUUUGGGAUUUUAUAUAAAUGUUUUGAAUUUUUAAAAUACCUUACCAGUUCACUAAAACCAAAACCCGUUAGAAGCUGUCAGAGUGGAGAUUAAGGGGAAUGUUGCCCAUCGUAAAAAUGUUAUUGAAGCUUUCAGAGAGGAGAUUAAAUAAUAUAUGAGUUCCGUAAGACACAAACAAGAACAAAAUCAUUGUCAUUUAGAUAUGUUUAUUUUUUGUUCUACUAGAAGAGGAGAUCCAAGUUAGAAGUAUGAUUAUAACCCGAAACCAAACGAUAAAAAUUGUAUAAGAUGUAAGUUUUAUAAAAAAGAUACUAAUGGGCAAUUAACCGAUUCAAGAAACAUCUAAUUGGUAAGGAAUGUUACUUCUUGUAAAAAGGUUCCUAGAUCUAUUAGGGAUGAGAUUAGACAAUAGUUGAAAUUAGUAAAACUAUAAAAUAAAGAAAAUGGAACUCGUUAUAUGGAAAUAUCUUCUCCAUAUUCUUUUAGAAGUGGUGAUCCAGGUUAGAAAUUUGGUUAUCUAAUCCGAAUAACAAAAAUUGUAUCAGGUAUAAUUAUUGUGGAAUGAUACUAAUUAUGGUAUUUACCCGUUCAAGAAACACCUUGUCGGUGUUAAAAGGGAUGUUAUCCUGUGUAAAAAUAUUCUUGUGGCUAGUAGGGAGGAGAUUAAACAAUAUUUGAGUUAAAAAAACACAAAAAUCAAGAAAAGUGUGAAGAAACACUAGGUAGAGCAGCUAUGAAUCUUAGAGCCUCAUUUGCACAGUGUAAAAAGGGGUAGAAGAUGAGGAGGAAAAGGUAGAUUCAAAAGAAACAAAGGAGGACGGAUGUCAUGUUGAAGAGGGAAAUGACUCUGAUGAUGAUAGCCUCAGAUCCAAUGUAUAUGAUGAAGCUUACUCUACUCUUUAUGAUGAUGAUGACUAAAGAUGCUUGAUUUUUGGUGUUGAGUCUUAAACUGUAUAUUUUCUGCUAUCUACUCUUGUGCGUAUGCUUGUACGGUAGUAUUAUUGUAUGGAAAUAUAGAUUAUAGAUUAUUUACUCUCUGCAAUUUUUGCAAUUUUUCUUUUCUGCUCUUAUUUUUCUUUUAUGGUUUUAAGGCGCUGGGCUGCCAUCAUUUUUUGGAACAAUAGUUAGAGAUAGAAAUUCGUGCUAUUCGCUUAUGACACAAACAAUCACGAAUUAGGUGAAGUUGUUUAUGGUGAAAGCAGAUUGAUUGUAUUUUAUCAACCGACCCUAUUCACAUACGGGUGGUGAUGUUAACGAAAAAUACAUGUGCGAUAGUAUAUGAAGUAGGGUUCUUUUCAUCAAGUACACUAAUCUGUCUUUGUGAUUGAAUAUGCAGGAGAUGGUAAUCUUUUGCAUUUGUCAUUGAAUAUAUACGAGUGUUCGGUCUGUAUCGUGCCAAGUAUUUUCAAACUCUCUUCAACUUCCUUUUUGGGCUACUUCUAUAAUGGAUAAGCAAGCGACUAUUGACCUCACUCUACGUGCUAUUAGAACCUUGCAAUCUUGGCCAGUUUUUGUACAUGCAUCAAAGAAAGUUUGUAAAAGAUAUGUAACAUUAAAUUUCGUUCUUUUGUUAAUUUAACUGCAAGUCAACAUUCCAUUGGUUCAGUUUUUAUAUUUCAAAUGUUGGAUUCUUUCAAAAAAACUUUUUUUUUGACAUGUGUUUGUUAUUUGUACUCGUUGAUUCCUAGUUAUAAAGCAAACUUGACUCUUUUCAAUUUUUACAAGAUGUUACAUGUGCACUGUAUGGUACAGAUACAAUAUUUCCCGUCUUGCUCCCUUUCAUUUCAAAAGAGAAAGUUUGAACUAUUAUGUAUGUAGUGUUUUCGUAAUCAUGACAUUACCAGUCCCUCAACCUAUACAAAAAUAGAAUUUCAGCAUAAACAUUUCAAAAUUGGUGGUAGCAAAUAAUAGCACUGUGUGCUGUCUAAUACAACCGCGUAACGGGUAUUUUAUUUGAGUAAAACAUAUAAUACAAGCAUAUAACCCAAAAUAUAGCUAUAAUUGCCAUGUGUGUAUUUAUGAAAAUGAUAAUGAUUUUGGAUUAGUGUCUUUUUUUUAAAAAAAAAAUUAAUAUAUAUAUAUAUAUAUAUAUAUUGAAAAAGUCGUAAAAUCGCGUAUAGGUGAAUUUGAAUAGUGUUUGGCCCGGCAACGAGCAUGUCCGUUGCAGUUUAUACUGAAAAUGUGCAAUAGUUCUACGACAGUCGUGGCGGAAUCCUAUGUUUUUCUGCAUGAAAAAUCCCUACAAUGGACAUGCUAUAUUUGUUGUGGUACCGCAACGGACAUGUGUUAGUGGUGGUCUUGUAAUCCUUGCCGUUCAAAAAAAUAGGAUGACGUCGAGCUUAUGGGUGAAAGGCUAGGUGGUCAGGACGGCAGAGUGCGACAAUGUGACUUCUAGUUCCAUUCUUACCACAUGUAUGAGACUCCUUCCUCACAAAACUACCCUAAGAACCAAAAAAAAAAGUUCUCGCAUAAAAGCUAUGUUCUGCAUUACGUUUUUCAGGGAUGAAUUGAAUUUGCUUCAUAUUGGAUUUCUUAGUUUUGGUUCUUUGCUUUCUGUUAUUCAGGGAUGAAUUGAAUUUGCAUCGUAUUGGAUUUUUUCGUUUUUGUUCUUUGCUUUCUACCCAUGUAAUUGCUGGAAGGUAAAUCUUCAUAUCUUAAGAGUUCAAUGUUUAUAGCACUGUAGGAAAAAUCGAUCCGAAACAGUUAAUUGGACAUGGGAUUGAAGCGGUUACUUGAUAUUAACCGGUAAAUCUGCCGGUUCAAUCGGCCAAACUGGGCAAGUCUCGAGCAGUCAAAAAAAUAUUUUUUUAAAAAAAAUCUAAUAAAAUAUAAAAAGUAUAUUUAAAACAUGACUAAACCAAGCACAUCUAAAUGACGUUGAAAAUUAAUGAAAAAAAUGGAUUUUAAAGUAACAUUUUGUGUUUAAGGGUAUUUUUAAAAAUUUUCAAACAAUAGAAAAAUGUAAAAAGAAGUAUAAAUGGCCAAAACAAUAUUAAAAAUUUCAUUACAAAGAAAAUCCCUGAUUUUUUGGCAUAUUAUAUAUAUUUGUUUUAAAUUAUUUUUUUUAAAAUACUUGGCCGGUUCACCAAAACUGGCUGAAGCCCAGUUCUCAUAUAAUUGGUCGAGAUAUAAUUUAAACUGCCUGAUUUAUCCUACACUAGUUUACUGGCUUAAUAUGGUAAGUGAGCAUGGUGAAUGUAAGCAUUUCCAUGACACAUUUACUUAUGGGAUUGUCUGCAAAGAGACUAAUCUUUAAGUAGUGUGCUGUGGGUUUUAGAUUUUUACGAGGAGGGGAAGGGGAGGAAAUCGUUGGUAGAGAGAGUUUCGGAUGGGUCUGUGAUGUUUUGGGUUAGGUCAGACAAGAAUGAGAGGGGAGAGAGAGAGGGUCACGGGUAAGAAAUGAGACAGUAAAAGGGGAAGAGAGAGAGCGAGAGGGGAUAGAGGUCAGUCAAUUUGUAGAGAGGACAAUGUGUUAGACUAAGUUUUUGAGUUAUAGUUUUACCUGGACCAAAGGUUUUUUUUUUAUCAUCAUUAUUUUAAUCUUUUUUUCAAUUGCUUGAGGUUAGUUAAUAACAAAAAAAAUGAUUCAUGUACAAAAAUAUGAAUACGUUAGUGGCUAAAAUUUGUUGAGUAUAAUUAUAAAAUGUUUUAAUUCUUGGAAAAAUUGCAUAAAAUCCCUAAAAAUGAAUUUUUUAUGCAAUUUACGCCAACCUAACUUUUCUUAACAACUUUUUCCCCAAGAUCAAGCUUACUAGUAAUUAUCCCUAACUCAAAAAAAAAAAAAACUAAAAUACCCUACUCUUACCUCACACAUUAACCAUGGCGGUCCGGCAUGUCACCAUGGCGGUCUGGCAUGUCACCAUGGCGGUCCGGUGUUUAGAAGAGUUGGUCCGGCGCUUAAGUCACUGAUUUGGAAUGAUCCGGCACUUCACCAUGACGGUUUGGCACUUCAUCAUGGUGGUCUGAAGUUUGGAAGAGGCGGUCCGGCAUUUGUUUCUAGAUUAAUGAGCGAUCCGGCAUUUGUGAGCUACAGUCUGACAAAAUUGAAAAUUGUGUCGGGAAUACGCGGCCCGGCAAGUGUACAAUUCUGGUCCGGCAUAAUGGAUAGGUUCAACAAUAUGCAACCACGGUCCUGUUUUUCCUUUUAUUGGGAUACAAAAAUAAUUUAUUAUAAGUACUUUUGUCAAAAAAAAUGAACUUUUUGUAUUUGAGGUAUUUGCUAUAGAACUUGAUUUUUUGAAAAAAAUAUGCUAAAAAAAUUAGGGUGAGUAAAGUACCUAAAAAGUCUAUUUUUGGGGGUCUUCAAGAUCCCUAUUUAUUGUUUUUGUCUUUUACAAUUGUUUUUUUAUUCUUUGGGGGUAGUUUAGUAUGCAUGAAAGUUUGGCAGGAAAGUAUUUAAAUAUACAAAUAAUUUAUAGGAAUAUUAGUCAAACAUACAUUUUCCUAUGUUUGGUAAACAUAUUUGAAAACUGAGUGAGAUCAUGAAAUUUUGAUAUAGUUUUUCUUUUAAAAAAUUUUGAAAUAGCUUAUCUCUCUAAAAAUUAAAUUUGACAUAGUUUUUUUCUAAAAAAUUUUAGAUAGUUCCUUUCUCUAAAACAUAAUUUUUUAAAUAGUUUCGCUAUCUAAAAAUUUUGAGAGCUUCAAGCUUCUCUCUCUUUCUAAAUCGUUUUAGGCCAUGGUUAUUUGUUUUUCUUUUUCUUUUGGUAGUCUAAAUUAUUGAUAGUUUCUUAUGUUCAAAAAAGCUAUUGAUAAUUUCUUUAUCUAUGUUCACAAUGGUUUUAUCUUGGUUUUCGUUGGUUUAUAUUAAAACCUUUGUUUCUUUGGGUCUAUAUAAUGGUAUUAGAGACGUUUGCUAUAAGUAGAUAGUACUAUUAAUAUUAAGAAAAAGUUUAUAUAAGGUUGCAACCUUAAAAUGUAGAACUAUAUAUGCUCCUAAAAAUUCCGUCGGAAAAGAUUGUUUUAAUGUUAAAGAACCCUCUAAUUGAUCAUCUCGACAUCGAGGUGUAUGAUUAUGAAAAAAAAAAAUAUUUUGAGUCCCAUAAAUAGUGCAUCUUACAACACAUUAUCUAGACCGCCUAUUUUCAAGAUUUUCAUCUGUUUAUAGAUUUCCUUGAUUUCAACUAUUUUUGCAGUUUAAAAUUUGAUAAUUUGAUAUGAAAAUAGAUUUUGAGAUAAUCCUAAGAAUAUUUUACAUCAAAAUUAUAUAUUAUGAUAAACUUUGAUGGUGAGCCUUAAUUGGAUUGUUUAAAGUAAACUACACCUUUAAUAUUACAGUUAUCUUUGUAUAGUGGUAUUGGAAACGAUUACCACUCAUUUUUGUAUAUUCAUAAGCCGAUAAUAUUAUUACUAUUACAUAAUUACAAGAGAGAUAGUUACAAAGGUUGAUUAUCUUUAUGGGAAGCGGAUAAUAUUAUUACUAUUACAUAAUUACAAGAGAGAUAGUUACAAAGGUCAUAAUGAUAAACAAGAUGGCACAUAUUAGUCACAAUAAUGUUUAAACAUAAUUCAUGUUUAAUCUCAAUUUCACUUUUUUAAGACAUUAAAUUAAGCAUUGAAAAGUUGCUAAAUAUAUAACUUAUAUUGCUAGAAUCAUCUAAAAAAGACAUAUUAAAUACUUACCCCUAGCUCGGUCUACUCUAAUGCCUUAAAGCUUUAAUAUUUCAAACAUAUGACAUAUAUGACAUAUAUUUAAAAUACUAGUGCAUGAUAAUGUGGAGCUUUAUACACAACAAUCAAAAUGAGAAUCAUGUUGAUAGUAGUGGGAUAAGCAUGUUGAAA
This 8252-nucleotide long non-coding RNA is filed under the name Amborella trichopoda. RNAcentral describes it as "long non-coding RNA (ATRI_LNC005402)". The record is from RNAcentral. Lineage: Eukaryota; Viridiplantae; Streptophyta; Magnoliopsida; Amborellales; Amborellaceae.